AUCAUUCAUUCAUUCGUAUCUGAGUAGAGGGAAACGAAACGAUAAAUCAAUUUCUAGCAAGUCAAUUCCUAUCUGUCAAUCUUCUUCGCAUUUUAGAGCGAGAAAAUGAGACUUUUUAGAGAGAGAGAGAGAAAAAGUAGGCAAGAAAGACGGUCACUGACUGAAUAAAAGAUCACUCACUCUCACACCCUUUCAAGAGAUCUCAUCGCCCGAUCUUUCCUUCCUUCCCCGCCGGUAGUUCUUAACUUGCUUUGAUAGAAAAUGGGUGCUUCAGGGAGAUGGAUUAAAGCACUUGUUGGUUUCACCAAGUCUGAUAAGUCAAAGUCUAAAAAGAAGGAUGAUAAUGUGAAGACUGCAACCAAGAGCCGGUUUGGGAGAAACCAUUCUGUUGAUUUUGAUGCUGAAAAGUUUCAACUUGGAUUUGAAGAUUCCAAUACGCAUAGCAGCAUGUUAGAUAAUGGGGUCUCCACUUCAACUUCUUAUGGUGCUGCUAAUGAAGAACAAAGGAAGGAGCACAUGGCUGCAACUCGGAUUCAAACAGCUUUUCGAGGGUUUCUGGCUAGAAGGGCUUUACGAGCAUUGAAGGGAUUGGUUAGACUUCAGGCCCUUGUUAGAGGACACGCGGUGAGAAAGCAAGCUGCUGUAACGCUUCGAUGCAUGCAAGCGUUAGUAAGAGUCCAGGCUCGUGUACGCGCAAGACGUGUUCGUCUCGCCUUGGAAAGUGAAACGGGUCCGCAGAUGCUUCAGCAGCAGCUUGCAGAUGAAGCCAGGGUUCGAGAAAUAGAGGAAGGUUGGUGCGAUAGCAUUGGUUCUGUUGAACAAAUCCAAGCCAAGAUACUAAAGAGGCAGGAAGCUGCAGCUAAGCGUGAGAGGGCUAUGGCAUAUGCUUUGACUCACCAGUGGCAAGCAGGAACUCGGCAGUUAUCUGCGCACAGUGGUUUUCAGCCUGACAAAAACAACUGGGGAUGGAACUGGCUAGAAAGAUGGAUGGCUGUUCGUCCAUGGGAGAAUCGGUUUCUUGACAGUAACCUCAGGGACGAUGCCAUAUUAGGUGAAAACAAUAUGGAGCAAACUGAGAGUGUUGUGCAUAAAACUCAGAUGAAAAUUGCAAGCAAGAUUCCAAACACUUCAAAUCUUGCGUCCGGUGUUUCGAGUCAGAAGGUAACCGGGCCAUCUCUGUCGGAUGGUAAUUCCACUUCACCUGGAAUAUCUUCAAGCAUGCCAGUGCCAGUGGUGUCCAAGGAUAGGUCAAAGCUCGCUAAAGACGAUCUUGCUGUAGAAGUUGUUAACUCAAGACCUGGUGCUGGUCCAAGAUCACACAGCAAUCCAAAAGAAAGAUCAAGAGCGCCAGAUAGAGCUUCUAAGGAACGAUUAUCUCUGCCAAACAGUGGAAAAUCCUUAGGAUCUCAGUCAGCUAAAGCCAAAUCUUCCCAAAACCAGAAAAGACGCAACUCUGAUCCAAUAAAACAGAGGCUUGCAUAGCCCUGGCUAGAGUCUCUGAGAAUCGUCAGUCCAUCUAUCACUCCCAUCGUUCCUGUACAUAAACACAGCUUCUGAAAAUGGAAACAAAAAGAGAAAAAGAGGAUAUCAUGUGAGAACACAAUGGGUUACAUUCAGAGACUUGCGUGGUGGUACAUUGAUCAGAACUCAGAAGAGAACACCAUCGUCUUGGCGUCUUUCUGCCUUCAUUGUUGUUUGUUAUUUGUGUGUCAGACAUCCUUUUUCUUUUGUCCAUGAUUCUUAUAUGGAUUAUUAGUACGUAGUGUUAUUAUUCAAGUAAAGUUGUUUGGGGUAUAUGAGUGAGACAGUUUUUUUUUGUUGGGAGAACGAACCAUGCUGCUCCUGGCCUUCCCAAUGUGAUAUAUAUACAGUAGUGUGUUGUAUUUGGUA
This is an RNA transcript of Brassica rapa (field mustard), 1890 nucleotides long. It is a transcript of the gene named protein IQ-DOMAIN 1, with no coding region annotated. The record is from RefSeq and is a predicted model, not a curated record. NCBI's taxonomy places the organism in Eukaryota, Viridiplantae, Streptophyta, Magnoliopsida, Brassicales, Brassicaceae.